CCACAGGUUCACCUAGGGAAGGUGGAACAAUCCCAGAUGUUUUUAUGGGGCCUGGGAAUAAAAAGGACAUGAUCCUCAUACCCUCAGCAGAGCCUCAGGAAGGUUGCAAGACUUCAGAAAAGAAAUGGGACGCUACACCUAACCUACCCAUGAGCUUAAGACUUAAAUCAAACCUCUGGUCUAAGAAGCGUUGAGUCUGUUCUGUCUGUCAUCUCCCCUCCCUGUAAGCUGACCUCUAAGAAACCAAAGGUUGUGUGGAUAGUUCUGACUGGACAUGUAAAACAACCAGCUGUGAGGACAAAAAGGGAGAUCCUACAGGAGAUAGCAUAAUGAUAAAACCUCUGUGCUUCCCACUGCUGCUACAAAAAGACCAGAUUAAAAUUUUAUGACACUUU
Long non-coding RNA from Canis lupus familiaris (dog), 395 nucleotides. RefSeq lists it as uncharacterized. The record is from RefSeq and is a predicted model, not a curated record. The transcript has 3 exons. Lineage: Eukaryota; Metazoa; Chordata; Mammalia; Carnivora; Canidae.